AGAGAGAGACAUGCGCGCAUAUCAAUAAGCGGAGGAAAAGAAACUAACAAGGAUUCCCUUAGUAACGGCGAGUGAAGCGGGAAGAGCUCAAAUUUGAAAUCUUCAGGGUUCUACCUUGACGAAUUGUAGUUUAUAGAAGUGUUUUCUGUUAGUGGAGUGGCAAAAGUUCUUUGGAAUAGGACAUCAUAGAGGGUGAGAAUCCCGUAUUUGGUCAUUCCUCCUAGCGUUGUGAUACACUUUCAACGAGUCGGAUUGUUUGGGAAUGCAGUCCAAAAUGGGUGGUAAAUUUCAUCUAAAGCUAAAUAUUGGCGAGAGACCGAUAGCGAACAAGUACCGUGAGGGAAAGAUGAAAAGAACUUUGAAAAGAGAGUUAAACAGUACGUGAAAUUGUCAAAAGGGAAGCGUUUGACACCAGUGUUGUUUUUCCGAAAAUCAAUUACGAAUGCUUUAGUUUUUGAGGAGUUAUGACUUCAUCGGCUUGCUCCUUUCUUUACGAAACUUUCUUAAUGCACUUUUCGGUUAACAAGUCAACAUCAAUUUCUUUUGUUGUAAAAGGGUAUGAGGAAGGUGGCUUUCUUUUCGGAGAAAGUGUUUAUAGCCUUGUGCCUCUGCAAUCGGAGAGAUUGAGGUCUGCAGCGUAGAUCCUUCGGGGUUAGAUACGUUUGUGCUAAGUUAAAGCUUUUCAUAGACAACUUGUUGACUAUGUUUAGUCUUGUAGCUUACUCGCUGACGCUAUUUUACCUACGCUUAGGAUGUUGAUAGUCACAGCGUGUAC
This 775-nucleotide ribosomal RNA is filed under the name uncultured Neocallimastigales. RNAcentral's name for it is "partial large subunit ribosomal RNA". It matches the Rfam family "Eukaryotic large subunit ribosomal RNA", at positions 23 to 644 of the family's 3401-position model. Lineage: Eukaryota; Fungi; Neocallimastigomycota; Neocallimastigomycetes; Neocallimastigales. The record is from RNAcentral.